GACGAACGCUGGCGGCGUGCUUAACACAUGCAAGUCGAACGGAAAGGCCCUGCUUUUGUGGGGUGCUCGAGUGGCGAACGGGUGAGUAACACGUGAGUAACCUGCCCUUGACUUUGGGAUAACUUCAGGAAACUGGGGCUAAUACCGGAUAGGAGCUCCUGCUGCAUGGUGGGGGUUGGAAAGUUUCGGCGGUUGGGGAUGGACUCGCGGCUUAUCAGCUUGUUGGUGGGGUAGUUGCUUACCAAGGCUUUGACGGGUAGCCGGCCUGAGAGGGUGACCGGCCACAUUGGGACUGGGAUACGGCCCAGACUCCUACGGGAGGCAGCAGUGGGGAAUAUUGCACAAUGGGCGGAAGCCUGAUGCAGCAACGCCGCGUGCGGGAUGACGGCCUUCGGGUUGUAAACCGCUUUCGCCUGUGACGAAGCGUGAGUGACGGUAAUGGGUAAAGAAGCACCGGCUAACUACGUG
This 468-nucleotide ribosomal RNA is filed under the name uncultured bacterium. Its description in RNAcentral is "partial 16S ribosomal RNA". It matches the Rfam family "Bacterial small subunit ribosomal RNA", at positions 28 to 507 of the family's 1533-position model. The record is from RNAcentral.